RNAcentral lists this ribosomal RNA (441 nucleotides) under uncultured bacterium. Its description in RNAcentral is "bacterial SSU rRNA". It matches the Rfam family "Bacterial small subunit ribosomal RNA", at positions 958 to 1398 of the family's 1533-position model. The record is from RNAcentral.
AACGCGAAGAACCUUACCUACCCUUGACAUCCAGAGAAAGCUGCAGAGAUGCGGCUGUGCCGAAAGGAACUCUGAGACAGGUGCUGCAUGGCUGUCGUCAGCUCGUGUUGUGAGAUGUUGGGUUAAGUCCCGUAACGAGCGCAACCCUUAUCCUUAGUUGCCAACAUGUAAUGGUGGGGACUCUAAGGAGACUGCUGGUGAUGAACCGGAGGAAGGCGGGGACGACGUCAAGUCAUCAUGGCCUUUAUGGGUAGGGCUACACACGUGCUACAAUGGGGCGUACAGAGGGUAGCGAACCUGCGAAGGGGAGCCAAUCUCGGAAAGCGCCUCGUAGUCCGGAUUGAAGUCUGCAACUCGACUUCAUGAAGUCGGAAUCGCUAGUAAUCGCGAAUCAGAACGUCGCGGUGAAUACGUUCCCGGGCCUUGUACACACCGGUACUA